Molecule: non-coding RNA, 69 nt
Organism: Monopterus albus (swamp eel)
Lineage: Eukaryota; Metazoa; Chordata; Actinopteri; Synbranchiformes; Synbranchidae
Source: Ensembl
AUCUUUCUAGUACAAACAGUAUUAUUGACUUCCAAUCACUAGAUUUUGGUUUAACCCCAAAGAAGGAUA